GACCAUGUUGGCUAUGAUAGUUUAAAUGGGUAGAUAAUAGAGUUCUAAAGGAUGAUUGCUAGUGAUAUGGAAGGACAAUUUGAAUAGCUAGAGAAGACUGAAUUUAUUCAUAAACUCGAGUUUGGGGGAAAAAUAUUUGGAAUAUAUAAGCUAAAAAAAAAAAAGUAUACAGGGUGACUAGUCUUGUUUCGGGGCCUUUGUUACUUGAACAAGUACGCCCGAGGGGAUUGUCUUUACACCUAGCGCCCUAAGGUCUUUCAUGGUCUGGGAGUCGUUGGUUGAAAGCUCGCUAAGGGGUAACACUGUUAGCCUAAUGGGAUGAGACAUUG
Molecule: long non-coding RNA, 329 nt
Filed under: Panax ginseng (ginseng)
Lineage: Eukaryota; Viridiplantae; Streptophyta; Magnoliopsida; Apiales; Araliaceae
Description: long non-coding RNA (PGIN_LNC006784)
Source: RNAcentral